This 495-nucleotide ribosomal RNA is filed under the name Coccomyces dentatus. RNAcentral's name for it is "eukaryotic LSU rRNA". The stretch from base 130 to 283 matches the Rfam family "5.8S ribosomal RNA". The record is from RNAcentral. Lineage: Eukaryota; Fungi; Ascomycota; Leotiomycetes; Rhytismatales; Rhytismataceae.
GAAUCGGAGGGGGACCCUCCCAUUCUCACCCUUUGCAUACUAAACUUCGUUGCUUCGGCACUGCAGCAAUGCACGCCGAAGGCCCAAAACCCUUGAAUCAUGAUGUCUGAGUAAAUAUUUAAUAUUUAAAACUUUCAACAACGGAUCUCUUGGUUAGACCAUCGAUGAAGAACGCAGCGAAAUGCGAUAAGUAAUGUGAAUUGCAGAAUUCAGUGAAUCAUCGAAUCUUUGAACGCACAUUGCGCUCUCUGGUAUUCCGGAGAGCAUGCCUGUUCGAGCGUCAUUACAACCCUCACGCUCCGCGUGGUAUUGGGCUGGCCCCUCUGGGCCUGCCUCAAAGUCAGUGGCGGUUACUGUCCAAUGCCUAAACGUAGUACUUACUAAUCGUUUCUGGCCCGGGCUGUAUCCUGCUAAGCACCCCCACACUUUUUAAAGGUUGACCUCGGAUCAGGUAGGGAUACCCGCUGAACUUAAGCAUAUCAAUAGGCGGAGGAA